UACGUAGGGGGCAAGCGUUGUCCGGAUUUAUUGGGCGUAAAGAACUCGUAGGCGGUUUGUCGCGUCUGCUGUGAAAACUCGAGGCUCAACCUCGAGACGCCGGUGGAAACCAUCAGACUAGAGUCCGGAAGAGGAGAGUGGAAUUCCUGGUGUAGCGGUGAAAUGCGCAGAUAUCAGGAGGAACACCAAUGGCGAAGGCAGCACUCUGGGACGGUACUGACGCUGAGACGCGAAAGCGUGGGGAGCAAACAGG
This 253-nucleotide ribosomal RNA is filed under the name uncultured bacterium. RNAcentral's name for it is "partial 16S ribosomal RNA". It matches the Rfam family "Bacterial small subunit ribosomal RNA", at positions 524 to 776 of the family's 1533-position model. The record is from RNAcentral.